RNAcentral lists this long non-coding RNA (358 nucleotides) under Jatropha curcas. RNAcentral's name for it is "long non-coding RNA (JCUR_LNC002749)". Lineage: Eukaryota; Viridiplantae; Streptophyta; Magnoliopsida; Malpighiales; Euphorbiaceae. The record is from RNAcentral.
GAUCAUGGGGCUUAGUUUGAGAUGACCACGAAUGUGAAUAAAUUUAAUCUCUUGACAUAAAGCAAUUAAAAUAAGGAAAUUCUAUUAAUUAGUGCAACUUUUGCAAGUUACUUGUUUUAUUGGAUAAAGAAGGAAAAUUAUAUUUAUGUCCUUAGUAGAACGUAAAGGUAAUUAGAGUAUUUUCAUUUAUUAGUAAGCUAGCUGGGUUUUAAUUUACUAUUUGUUUGGGAUAUUGAAAAUUUGUGUAAGAGCAAACAAGUAGAUUUGGAAUAAUUUUAGCCAAUUUAGUGAGAAGUAUACACGCGAGUAUUUAAAGAUUGUAAAUAUAGAGUAUAAGAUUAGUGGAUGUGCUAACAAG